Molecule: long non-coding RNA, 353 nt
Filed under: Brassica napus (rape)
Lineage: Eukaryota; Viridiplantae; Streptophyta; Magnoliopsida; Brassicales; Brassicaceae
Description: long non-coding RNA (BNAP_LNC005502)
Source: RNAcentral
AAGAACAAGGACCAUCAUGAUGAUUAUGAUGAGAAAAAGAAGAACAAAAACAAGGACCAUGAUUAUGAUGAGAAAAAGAAGAAGAAGGACUAUCAUCAUGGUAGUGAUGAUGACAAGAAGAAGAAAACGGACUAUCAUCAUGGUAGUGACGAUGACAAGAAGAAGAAAAAGGACCAUUAUGAUGACAAGAAGAAGAAGGAUCAUUAUGGUAGUGAUGAGGACAAGAAGAAGAAUAAGAAGGAUAAGCAUUACAAGGGACAUCGUGAAUACGAUGACUAGAAACCCCUUCUGGCCUCUUCCUACAUAAGGGAUUGCACAUCUCCCAAGCUUUUAGUCACUAAUUAAGUAACCCC